This 253-nucleotide ribosomal RNA is filed under the name uncultured bacterium. Its description in RNAcentral is "partial 16S ribosomal RNA". It matches the Rfam family "Bacterial small subunit ribosomal RNA", at positions 524 to 776 of the family's 1533-position model. The record is from RNAcentral.
UACGUAGGGGGCUAGCGUUGUCCGGAAUCAUUGGGCGUAAAGCGCGCGUAGGCGGCCCGGUAAGUCCGCUGUAAAAGUCAAAGGCUCAACCUUUGAAUGUCAGUGGAUACUGCCGGGCUAGAGUCCGGAAGAGGCGAGUGGAACUCCUGGUGUAGCGGUGAAAUGCGCAGAUAUCAGGAGGAACACCAAUUGCGAAGGCAGCUCGCUGGGACGUAACUGACGCUGAGACGCGAAAGCGUGGGGAGCAAACAGG